UGGGUUAAGUCCCGCAACGAGCGCAACCCUUAUCCUUUGUUGCCAGCGGUCCGGCCGGGAACUCAAAGGAGACUGCCAGUGAUAAACUGGAGGAAGGUGGGGAUGACGUCAAGUCAUCAUGGCCCUUACGACCAGGGCUACACACGUGCUACAAUGGCGCAUACAAAGAGAAGCGACCUCGCGAGAGCAAGCGGACCUCAUAAAGUGCGUCGUAGUCCGGAUUGGAGUCUGCAACUCGACUCCAUGAAGUCGGAAUCGCUAGUAAUCGUGGAUCAGAAUGCCACGGUGAAUACGUUCCCGGGCCUUGUACACACCGCCCGUCACACCAUGGGAGUGGGUUGCAAAAGAAGUAGGUAGCUUAACCUUCGGGAGGGCGCUUACCACUUUGUGAUUCAUGACUGGGGUGAAGUCGUAACAAGGUAACCGUAGGGGAACCUGC
This 439-nucleotide ribosomal RNA is filed under the name Salmonella enterica subsp. enterica serovar Infantis. RNAcentral's name for it is "bacterial SSU rRNA". It matches the Rfam family "Bacterial small subunit ribosomal RNA", at positions 1076 to 1515 of the family's 1533-position model. The record is from RNAcentral. RNAcentral also lists the same sequence under 2 other names. Lineage: Bacteria; Pseudomonadati; Pseudomonadota; Gammaproteobacteria; Enterobacterales; Enterobacteriaceae.